AUUGAACGCUGGCGGCAUGCCUUACACAUGCAAGUCGAACGGCAGCACGGGAGCAAUCCUGGUGGCGAGUGGCGAACGGGUGAGUAAUAUAUCGGAACGUGCCCAGUCGUGGGGGAUAACGUAGCGAAAGCUACGCUAAUACCGCAUACGAUCUAUGGAUGAAAGCGGGGGAUCGCAAGACCUCGCGCGAUUGGAGCGGCCGAUAUCAGAUUAGGUAGUUGGUGAGGUAAAGGCUCACCAAGCCGACGAUCUGUAGCUGGUCUGAGAGGACGACCAGCCACACUGGGACUGAGACACGGCCCAGACUCCUACGGGAGGCAGCAGUGGGGAAUUUUGGACAAUGGGCGCAAGCCUGAUCCAGCAAUGCCGCGUGCAGGAUGAAGGCCUCGGUGUAAC
Molecule: ribosomal RNA, 396 nt
Filed under: uncultured bacterium
Lineage: Bacteria
Description: bacterial SSU rRNA
Rfam family: Bacterial small subunit ribosomal RNA
Source: RNAcentral